UACGUAGGGGGCAAGCGUUGUCCGGAUUUACUGGGCGUAAAGAGCGCGCAGGCGGUCGUUCAAGUCGAGUGUGAAAGCCCCCGGCUCAACUGGGGAGGGUCACUCGAUACUGAUCGACUCGAAGGCAGAAGAGGGAAGCGGAAUUCCCGGUGUAGUGGUGAAAUGCGUAGAUAUCGGGAGGAACACCAGUGGCGAAGGCGGCUUUCUGGGACGGUACUGACGCUGAGACGCGAAAGCGUGGGGAGCGAACAGG
This 253-nucleotide ribosomal RNA is filed under the name uncultured bacterium. RNAcentral's name for it is "partial 16S ribosomal RNA". It matches the Rfam family "Bacterial small subunit ribosomal RNA", at positions 524 to 776 of the family's 1533-position model. The record is from RNAcentral.